CCCUUAGAUGUUCUGGGAUGCACGCGCGUUACACUGAUUCGUUCAACGAGUUUAUGACCUUGCCUGGUGAGGUGGGGGAAUCUUUUCAAAUCGCAUCGUGAUGGGGAUAGAGUAUUGUAACUGUUAGUCUUCAACGAGGAAUUCCUAGUAAGUGCGCGUCAUCAGCUCGUACUGAUUAUGUCCCUGCCCUUUGUACACACCGCCCGUCGCUCCUACCGAUUGAGUGCUCAGGUGAAUAGUAUGGACUGCAUCAGCGUUCGGUCUCCGAGUGCUGAAGCGAGAAAUUCUGUGAAUCUUAUUGCUUAGAGGAAGGAGAAGUCGUAACA
RNAcentral lists this ribosomal RNA (326 nucleotides) under uncultured eukaryote. RNAcentral describes it as "partial 18S ribosomal RNA". It matches the Rfam family "Eukaryotic small subunit ribosomal RNA", at positions 1470 to 1796 of the family's 1831-position model. The record is from RNAcentral.